This 476-nucleotide ribosomal RNA is filed under the name uncultured bacterium. RNAcentral's name for it is "partial 16S ribosomal RNA". It matches the Rfam family "Bacterial small subunit ribosomal RNA", at positions 30 to 506 of the family's 1533-position model. The record is from RNAcentral.
AUGAACGCUGGCGGCGUGCCUAACACAUGCAAGUCGAACGGAGUCCAGCCUUUAAGACCUUCGGGUCAAAGAGGGGAAGACUGAGUGGCGGACGGGUGAGUAACACGUGGGCAACCUGGCUCAUAGAGGGGGAUAACAGAGAGAAAUUUCUGCUAAUACCGCAUAAGCACACACUGCCGCAUGGCAGAGGGUGAAAAGAGAAUCGCUAUGAGAUGGACCCGCGUCUGAUUAGCCAGUUGGCAGGGUAAGAGCCUACCAAAGCGACGAUCAGUAGCCGAUCUGAGAGGAUGAACGGCCACAUUGGGACUGAGACACGGCCCAAACUCCUACGGGAGGCAGCAGUGGGGGAUAUUGCACAAUGGGGGGAACCCUGAUGCAGCGACGCCGCGUGAGUGAAGAAGUAUUUCGGUAUGUAAAGCUCUAUCAGCAGGGAAGAUAAUGACAGUACCUGAAUAAGAAGCCCCGGCUAACUACGU